UAACAAGGAUUCCCCUAGUAACUGCGAGUGAAGCGGGAAAAGCUCAAAUUUAAAAUCUGGCAGCUUUGGCUGUCCGAGUUGUAGUCUGGAGAAGCGUUUUCUGUGCCGGACCGUGUACAAGUCUCUUGGAACAGAGCGUCAUAGAGGGUGAGAAUCCCGUCUUUGACACGGACUGCCGGUGCUUUGUGAUGCGCUCUCAAAGAGUCGAGUUGUUUGGGAAUGCAGCUCAAAAUGGGUGGUAAAUUCCAUCUAAAGCUAAAUAUUGGCGAGAGACCGAUAGCGAACAAGUACCGUGAGGGAAAGAUGAAAAGCACUUUGGAAAGAGAGUUAAACAGUACGUGAAAUUGCUGAAAGGGAAACGCUUGAAGUCAGUCGCGUCGUCCGGAACUCAGCCUGGCUUUUGCCUGGUGUACUUUCUGGUUGAUGGGCCAGCAUCAAUUUUGAUCGUUGGAUAAAGGCCUCAGGAAUGUGGCACCUUCGGGUGUGUUAUAGCCUGGGGUCGCAUACAACGGUUGGGAUUGAGGAUCUCAGCACGCCUUUAUGGUCGGGGUUCGCCCACGUACGUGCUUAGGAUGCUGGCGUAAUGGCUUUAAACGAC
RNAcentral lists this ribosomal RNA (598 nucleotides) under Steccherinum sp. 4 KUC20130719-16. Its description in RNAcentral is "eukaryotic LSU rRNA". It matches the Rfam family "Eukaryotic large subunit ribosomal RNA", at positions 66 to 648 of the family's 3401-position model. Lineage: Eukaryota; Fungi; Basidiomycota; Agaricomycetes; Polyporales; Steccherinaceae. The record is from RNAcentral.